GAUGAACGCUGGCGGCGUGCUUAACACAUGCAAGUCGAGCGAAGCGCUUUUGCGGAUUUCUUCGGAUUGAAGCAACUGUGACUGAGCGGCGGACGGGUGAGUAACGCGUGGGUAACCUACCUCAUACAGGGGGAUAACAGUUGGAAACGGCUGCUAAUACCGCAUAAGCGCACAGUACCGCAUGGUACCGUGUGAAAAACUCCGGUGGUAUGAGAUGGACCCGCGUCUGAUUAGCUAGUUGGUGGGGUAACGGCCUACCAAGGCGACGAUCAGUAGCCGACCUGAGAGGGUGACCGGCCACAUUGGGACUGAGACACGGCCCAAACUCCUACGGGAGGCAGCAGUGGGGAAUAUUGCACAAUGGGGGAAACCCUGAUGCAGCGACGCCGCGUGAGCGAUGAAGUAUUUCGGUAUGUAAAGCUCUAUCAGCAGGGAAGAAA
This 440-nucleotide ribosomal RNA is filed under the name uncultured bacterium. RNAcentral describes it as "bacterial SSU rRNA". It matches the Rfam family "Bacterial small subunit ribosomal RNA", at positions 28 to 450 of the family's 1533-position model. The record is from RNAcentral.